AGGACGAACGCUGGCGGCGUGCUUAACACAUGCAAGUCGAACGAGGCCCUGCCUUCGGGCAGGUGACCUAGUGGCGAACGGGUGAGUAACACGUGGGCAACCUACCCUCAGCUCUGGGAUAACCCCGGGAAACCGGAGCUAAUACCGGAUACGACCUGGAACGACAUCGUUCCUGGUGGAAAGUUUUUCGGCUGAGGAUGGGCCCGCGGCCUAUCAGCUUGUUGGUGGGUAAUGGCCUACCAAGGCGACGACGGGUA
Molecule: ribosomal RNA, 257 nt
Filed under: uncultured bacterium
Lineage: Bacteria
Description: partial small subunit ribosomal RNA
Rfam family: Bacterial small subunit ribosomal RNA
Source: RNAcentral